Molecule: ribosomal RNA, 249 nt
Filed under: Ligilactobacillus salivarius
Lineage: Bacteria; Bacillati; Bacillota; Bacilli; Lactobacillales; Lactobacillaceae
Description: Lactobacillus salivarius partial 23S ribosomal RNA
Rfam family: Bacterial large subunit ribosomal RNA
Source: RNAcentral
CGUAACGAUCUGGGCACUGUCUCAACGAGAGACUCGGUGAAAUUAUAAUACCCGUGAAGAUGCGGGUUACCCGCGACAGGACGGAAAGACCCCAUGGAGCUUUACUGUAGCUUGAUAUUGGGUGUUUAUACAACUUGUACAGGAUAGGUAGGAGCCGUAGAAGUCGGAACGCUAGUUUCGAUGGAGGCAUUGGUGGGAUACUACCCUCGUUGUAUGAACACUCUAACCCUCGCCGGCAAUCACGGCGGG